CACCGCAAAGCCAUCGCGGGAGAGAGUGAGACGUUGAGGCAGAGAGCUGCUGUUGCGGGAAACGCGAUGGAGGAGAGGACGCUGCCAGCUCUGUCACGCCUGGUCGCUACCAAGCUCGCCGUUGGAGAUCGCUGUUCCUUCACCACUGAUGAGCCGCCGUUGGGCUACUCUGCUUCGUCUCGUGACUCUCGCGUCGGCCCAUGUGCAUCUCCUUCCUAGCUCGUCGCCUCCUCUACGUGACAGCAUCUCGCAUUGUUGUCGUUGUCAUCGCGCCUCGUCCGGCGUGCCUCACCGUCGCUGUUGCCUUCCCCUUGCCAGACUCUGCUUCUCCGUGCUUGGUCUCCCUCUUCUCAGGU
Arachis ipaensis is the source of this 356-nucleotide non-coding RNA. The record is from RefSeq and is a predicted model, not a curated record. Lineage: Eukaryota; Viridiplantae; Streptophyta; Magnoliopsida; Fabales; Fabaceae.